This 1457-nucleotide ribosomal RNA is filed under the name uncultured Bordetella sp. RNAcentral's name for it is "partial 16S-23S ribosomal RNA intergenic spacer". It matches the Rfam family "Bacterial small subunit ribosomal RNA". The record is from RNAcentral. Lineage: Bacteria; Pseudomonadati; Pseudomonadota; Betaproteobacteria; Burkholderiales; Alcaligenaceae.
AGUUUGAUCAUGGCUCAGAUUGAACGCUGUGGGAUGCUUUACACAUGCAAGUCGAACGCUAGCACGGACUUCGGUCUGGUGGCGAGUGGCGAACGGGUGAGUCAUCGUGCUCGGAACGUGCCUAUUGGCGGGGGAUAACUACGCAGAAAGCGUGAACUAUUACUGCCGCCCUUCGGGGAAAGCGGGGGACCUUCGGGCCUCGCACUAUUAAACCGAUAUCAGUUAGCUAGUUAGUGGGAGUAACGGCUCACCAAGGCGACGAUCAGCUGGUUUGAGAGGACGACCAGCCACACUGGGACUGAGACACGGCCCAGACUCCUGGAAGCAGCAGUGGGGAAUUUGGACAAUGGGGAAACCCUGAUCCAGCCAUCCCGCGUGUGCGAUGAAGGCCUUCCGGGUUGUAAAGCACGGCGGGGAAAGAAACGGCGCGGGAUAAUACCCCGUGCAACUGACGCCAGUACCUGCAGAAUAAGCACCGGCCUAACGUGCCAGCAGCCGCGGUAAUACGUAGAAGUGCAAACGUUAAUCGGAAUUACUGGGCGUAAAGCGUGCGCGACGGUUCGGAAAGAAGAUGUGAAAUCCCAGGCUUAACUUUGGAACUGCAUUUUAACUACCGAGCUAGAGUGUGUCAGAGGGAGGUGGGGUAUGGGAAGAAGUACGUAGAUAUGCCGGAGAACUACCAUUGGCGAAGGCAGCCUCCUGGGAUAACACUGACGCUCAUGCACGAAAGCGUGGGGAGCAAACGAGUUAGAUACCCUGGUAGUCCACGCCUAAACGAUGUCAACUAGCUGUUGGGGCCUUCGGGCCUUGGUAGCCUUAGCCACCGGUGGUUGACCGCCUGGGGAAAUUACGGUCGCAAGAUUAAAACUCAAAGGAAUUGACGGGGACCCGCACAAGCGGUGGAUGAUGUGGAUCAGGCAUUCAAUUGCAACGCGAAAAACCUUACCUACCCUGACAUGUCUGGAAUCCCGAAGAGAUUUGGGAGUGCUCAUAAAGACCGAUUCUGGGUGCUGCAUGGCUGUCGUCAGCUCGUGUCGUGAAAUGAUGGGUUAAGUCCCGCAACGAGCGCAACCCUUGUCAUUAGUUGCUACGAAGGGCACUCUAAUGAGACUGCCGGUGAUGAACCCGGAGGGAAGGUGGGAUGACGUCAAGUCCUCAUCGGCCCUUAUGGGUAAGGGCUUCACACGUCAUACAAUGGUCGGGACAGAGGGUCGCCAGCCCGCGAGGAGCCAAUCCGGGAACCCGAUCGUAGUCCGGAUCGCAGUCUGCAACUCGACUGCGUGAAGUCGGAAUCACUAUUGUAUCGCGGAUCAGCAUGUCGCGGUGAAUACGUUCCCGGGUCCUGUACACACCGCCCGUCACACCAUGGGAGUGGGUUUUACCAAUCGUUCGCUAACCGUAAGGAGGGCGAUUACCACGGUAGGAUUCAUGACUGGGGUGAAGUCGUAACAAGGUAG